GACGAACGCUGGCGGCGUGCUUAACACAUGCAAGUCGAACGGAAAGGCCCCUUUGGGGGUACUCGAGUGGCGCACGGGUGAGUAACACGUGAGUAACCUGCCCUUGACUUCGGGAUAACUUCAGGAAACUGGGGCUAAUACCGGAUAGGAAUCCUUGCUGCAUGGUGGGGGUUGGAAAGCUUCGGCGGUUUUGGAUGGACUCGCGGCGUAUCAGCUGGUUGGUGGGGUAGUGGCUUACCAAGGCUUUGACGGGUAGCCGGCCUGAGAGGGCGACCGGCCACAUUGGGACUGAGAGAAGGCCCAGACGCCUACGGGAGGCAGAAGGGGGGAAGAUUGCACAAUGGGCGGAAGCCUGAUGCAGCAACGCCGCGUGCGGGAUGACGGCCUUCGGGUUGUAAACCGCUUUCAGCAGGGGCGAAGCUUGUGGUGACGGUACCUGCAGAAGAAGCACCGGCUAACUACGUG
RNAcentral lists this ribosomal RNA (465 nucleotides) under uncultured bacterium. RNAcentral describes it as "partial 16S ribosomal RNA". It matches the Rfam family "Bacterial small subunit ribosomal RNA", at positions 28 to 507 of the family's 1533-position model. The record is from RNAcentral.